Molecule: long non-coding RNA, 137 nt
Organism: Athene cunicularia (burrowing owl)
Lineage: Eukaryota; Metazoa; Chordata; Aves; Strigiformes; Strigidae
Exons: 3
Source: RefSeq, a predicted model, not a curated record
GGGAAUCAGGCUGGUCGCUGAGAGUGUUUGGGCGUGGGUACGCAGCAGUGGAAAAAGAUGGCUUAAUUAAAUGGAUACCUGCACAAUGUAUAAAACCUGAAAUAACCAUUUCUUCUUAAAAUGGAGUUUUCUGUUAC